Hippopotamus amphibius kiboko is the source of this 109-nucleotide small nuclear RNA. NCBI's taxonomy places the organism in Eukaryota, Metazoa, Chordata, Mammalia, Artiodactyla, Hippopotamidae. The record is from RefSeq and is a predicted model, not a curated record.
GUGCUUGCUUCAGCAGCACAUAUACUAAAAUUAUGUAACUAUACAGAAAAGGUUAAUGUGGCCCCUGUGCAAAGAUGAGACACGAAUUCAUGAAAUGUUUCAUAUUUUU